ACUCCUUAUGAUCUUUACAUUUGAACAGUUAAUGUGAAUAAUUGCAGUUGUCCACAACCCUAUCACUUCUAGGACCAUUAUACCUCUUUUGCAUUACUGUGGGGUAUACUGUUUCCCUCCAAGGCCCCUUCUGGUGGACUAUCAACAUAUAAUUGAAAUUUUCUUUUGUCUUUGUCAGUAGAUUAAGGUCAUACCCCAUCACCUUUCCUUUGUAGUACAACAGGGUGUCCUGAUCAACCAAAGUCCUGUUGUUUUGGACUGUUAAUAUGUGCAAUUACAUUUGCUCCUGAUCUGUGCACUAGAUAAGGAUCCUACCUACUUUCUUAGUGUUUUUAGCAGGUAGUGCCCACUACUCAAGACUGUCACUUGGAAUGUUCAUGUGCACAAACUCAAUUCUCUAAGCAUGUUCCUGUACCACCUUUGCUUUAGAGCAGGGGGAUGAUAUUCACUAAGUGCCCCUUCUUUUGGACUUAAUAUGCAUUAAUGCAAUUGUCCACCUCUUCUUUUAGACUAAGAGUUGAUCUCCACAUAUUCCCCUUGCAUCAGGGGCAUGUUAAUUAUGAAUGAACCCUUUUCUUUUAAUAUUAAUGUCAUAAUUGUAUUUGUGGACCUGUGUAGGAGAAAAAGACCCUAUGUUCCUCCCAUUACCCUUUGGAUUGCUGCUGAGAAGUGUUAACUACUCAUAAUCUCAGCUCUUGGACAAUUAAUAGCAUUAAUAACAAUUAUCAAGGGCACUGAUCAUUAGAUAAGACUCCUGCUUCCUCGUUGCUUACAUCGGGGGUACUGACCCACUAAGGCCCCUUGUACUGUUAAUGUGAAUAUUUGCAAUUAUAUAUGUCUCCUUCUGGUAGAGUGGGAUAUUAUGCCCUAGUAUCCCCUUUGCAUUACUGCAGGGGCUGCUGACUACUCAAAACUUCUCCUGGGACUGUUAAUAGGCACAAUGGCAGUUAUCAAUGGUUUUCUCCCUCCCUGACCUUGUUAAGCAAGCGCCCCACCCCACCCUUAGUUUCCCAUGGCAUAAUAAAGUAUAAGCAUUGGAGUAUUCCAUGCACUUGUCUAUCAAACAGUGGUCCAUACUCCCAACCCUUUUGCAUUGCGCCAGUGUGUAAAAUCACAGGUAGCCAUGGUGUCAUGCUUUAUAUACGAAGUCUUCCCUCUCUCUGCCCCUUGUGUGCCCUUGGCCCCUUUUUACAGACUAUUGCUCACAAUCUCAGGUGUCCAUAUUUGCAGCUAUUAGGUAAGAUUGUGCUGUCUCCCUCUUCCCUUCCCUCUGCCCUGCCCCUUUUGCCUCUUUGCUGGGUAAUGUUGACCAGACAAGGCCCUUUCUCUUGGACUUAAACAAUUCUCAGUUGCACUUUCCUUGGUCCCACCCAUUAUACAUGAACCCCUCUACUUCCUUUCGCAUUGCUUCUGAGUAUGCUGACUACCCAAAGCCCCUUCUGUGUUAUUAAUAAACACAGUACUGAUUGUCCCAUUUUUCAGCCCAUCAGUCCAAGAUCUCCCUACCACUUUGGUGUGUUGGUGCAGUGUUGACUAUGAAAAGCAGGCCUGAACUAGGUGGAUAAGCCUUCACUCAUUUUCUUUCAUUUAUUAAUGAUCCUAGUUUCAAUUAUUGUCAGAUUCUGGGGACAAGAACCAUUCUUGCCCACCUGUGUUACUGCUUUACUGUGCAAAAUACUGAAGGCAAGUCAGACCCAGGGAGCUGGAUUGCCAUCCUUUAUUUUGUGUUUCCAGUGUACACUAUAAAAUUGUCUCCCCAGGAAGGAAGGUUGGCACUUUCUCUGCAUUCUUCUUUCCAGAGCAGAUUGCCUGGUUAAGAAUCUCUUGUUGUCCCCUUUGUAUAUUGUUAUUGUAAAGUGCCAAAUGCCAGGAUACAGCCAGAAAAAUUGCUUAUUAUUAUUAAAAAAAUUUUUUUAAGAAAGACAUCUGGAUUGUAGGGUGGACUCGAUAACCUGGUCAUUAUUUUUUUGAAGCCAAAAUAUCCAUUUAUACUAUGUACCUGGUGACCAGUGUCUCUCAUUUUAACUGAGGGUGGUGGGUCUGUGGAUAGAACACUGACUCUUGCUAUUUUAAUAUCAAAGAUAUUCUAGAGUGGAACUCUUAAGACCAGUAUCUUUGUGUGGGCUUUACCAGCAUUCACUUUUAGAAAAACUACCUAAAUUUUAUAAUCCUUUAAUUUCUUCAUCUGGAGCACCUGCCCCUACUUAUUUCAAGAAGAUUGCAGUAAAACGAUUAAAUGAGGGAACAUAUGCAGAGGUGCUUUUAAAAAGCAUAUGCCACCUUUUUUAUUAAUUAUUAUAUAAAAUGAAGCAUUUAAUUAUAGUAAUAAUUUGAAGUAGUUUGAAGUACCACACUGAGGUGAGGACUUAAAAAUGAUAAGACGAGUUCCCUAUUUUAUAAGAAAAAUAAGCCAAAAUUAAAUAUUCUUUUGGAUAUAAAUUUCAACAGUGAGAUAGCUGCCUAGUGGAAAUGAAUAAUAUCCCAGCCACUAGUGUACAGGGUGUUUUGUGGCACAGGAUUAUGUAAUAUGGAACUGCUCAAGCAAAUAACUAGUCAUCACAACAGCAGUUCUUUGUAAUAACUGAAAAAGAAUAUUGUUUCUCGGAGAAGGAUGUCAAAAGAUCGGCCCAGCUCAGGGAGCAGUUUGCCCUACUAGCUCCUCGGACAGCUGUAAAGAAGAGUCUCUGGCUCUUUAGAAUACUGAUCCCAUUGAAGAUACCACGCUGCAUGUGUCCUUAGUAGUCAUGUCUCCUUAGGCUCCUCUUGAUCUUCCUCAGAAGAAUAGGCUUGUUGUUUUACAGUGUUAGUGAUCCAUUCCCUUUGACGAUCCCUAGGUGGAGAUGGGGCAUGAGGAUCCUCCAGGGGAAAAGCUCACUACCACUGGGCAACAACCCUAGGUCAGGAGGUUCUGUCAAGAUACUUUCCUGGUCCCAGAUAGGAAGAUAAAGUCUCAAAAACAACCACCACACGUCAAGCUCUUCAUUGUUCCUAUCUGCCAAAUCAUUAUACUUCCUACAAGCAGUGCAGAGAGCUGAGUCUUCAGCAGGUCCAAGAAAUUUGAACACACUGAAGGAAGUCAGCCUUCCCACCUGAAGAUCAACAUGCCUGGCACUCUAGCACUUGAGGAUAGCUGAAUGAAUGUGUCUUACCCAUUUCCAUGUUUCUCUUGCUAAUUUCUUUCGUGUGUGCCUUUGCCUCAUUUUCUCUUUUUGUUCACAAGAGUGGUCUGUGUCUUGUCUUAGACAUAUCUCUCAUUUUUCAUUUUGUUGCUAUUUCUCUUUGCUCUCCUAGAUGUGGCUCUUCUUUCACGCUUUAUUUCAUGUCUCCUUUUUGGGUCACAUGCUGUGUGCUUUUUGUCCUUUUCUUGUUCUGUCUACCUCUCCUUUCUCUGCCUACCUCUCUUUUCUCUUUGUGAACUGUGAUUAUUUGUUACCCCUUCCCCUUCUCGUUCGUUUUAAAUUUCACCUUUUUUCUGAGUCUGGCCUCCUUUCUGCUGUUUCUACUUUUUAUCUCACAUUUCUCAUUUCUGCAUUUCCUUUCUGCCUCUCUUGGGCUAUUCUCUCUCUCCUCCCCUGCGUGCCUCAGCAUCUCUUGCUGUUUGUGAUUUUCUAUUUCAGUAUUAAUCUCUGUUGGCUUGUAUUUGUUCUCUGCUUCUUCCCUUUCUACUCACCUUUGAGUAUUUCAGCCUCUUCAUGAAUCUAUCUCCCUCUCUUUGAUUUCAUGUAAUCUCUCCUUAAAUAUUUCUUUGCAUAUGUGGGCAAGUGUACGUGUGUGUGUGUCAUGUGUGGCAGAGGGGCUUCCUAACCCCUGCCUGAUAGGUGCAGAACGUCGGCUAUCAGAGCAAGCAUUGUGGAGCGGUUCCUUAUGCCAGGCUGCCAUGUGAGAUGAUCCAAGACCAAAACAAGGCCCUAGACUGCAGUAAAACCCAGAACUCAAGUAGGGCAGAAGGUGGAAGGCUCAUAUGGAUAGAAGGCCCAAAGUAUAAGACAGAUGGUUUGAGACUUGAGACCCGAGGACUAAGAUGGAAAGCCCAUGUUCCAAGAUAGAUAGAAGCCUCAGGCCUGAAACCAACAAAAGCCUCAAGAGCCAAGAAAACAGAGGGUGGCCUGAAUUGGACCGAAGGCCUGAGUUGGAUGGAAGUCUCAAGGCUUGAGUUAGAAGUCUUAAGACCUGGGACAGGACACAUGGAAGGCCUAAGAACUGAGACUUGUGACACAAGGCCAACGACCUAAGAUUAGCCCAGGGUUGUAGCUGGAAGACCUACAACCCAAGGAUGGAAGGCCCCUGUCACAAAGCCUACCUAGAUGGAUAGAGGACCCAAGCGAAAAAGGUAUCUCAAGACUAACGGCCGGAAUCUGGAGGCCCAUGACCCAGAACCCAGGAAGGAUAGAAGCUUGAAGACCUGGGGAAAUCCCAAGAUGAGAACCCUAAACCCUACCUCUUUUCUAUUGUUUACACUUCUUACUCUUAGAUAUUUCCAGUUCUCCUGUUUAUCUUUAAGCCUGAUUCUUUUGAGAUGUACUUUUUGAUGUUGCCGGUUACCUUUAGAUUGACAGUAUUAUGCCUGGGCCAGUCUUGAGCCAGCUUUAAAUCACAGCUUUUACCUAUUUGUUAGGCUAUAGUGUUUUGUAAACUUCUGUUUCUAUUCACAUCUUCUCCACUUGAGAGAGACACCAAAAUCCAGUCAGUAUCUAAUCUGGCUUUUGUUAACUUCCCUCAGGAGCAGACAUUCAUAUAGGUGAUACUGUAUUUCAGUCCUUUCUUUUGACCCCAGAAGCCCUAGACUGAGAAGAUAAAAUGGUCAGGUUGUUGGGGAAAAAAAAGUGCCAGGCUCUCUAGAGAAAAAUGUGAAGAGAUGCUCCAGGCCAAUGAGAAGAAUUAGACAAGAAAUACACAGAUGUGCCAGACUUCUGAGAAGCACCUGCCAGCAACAGCUUCCUUCUUUGAGCUUAGGUGAGCAGGAUUCUGGGGUUUGGGAUUUCUAGUGAUGGUUAUGGAAAGGGUGACUGUGCCUGGGACAAAGCGAGGUCCCAAGGGGACAGCCUGAACUCCCUGCUCAUAGUAGUGGCCAAAUAAUUUGGUGGACUGUGCCAACGCUACUCCUGGGUUUAAUACCCAUCUCUAGGCUUAAAGAUGAGAGAACCUGGGACUGUUGAGCAUGUUUAAUACUUUCCUUGAUUUUUUUCUUCCUGUUUAUGUGGGAAGUUGAUUUAAAUGACUGAUAAUGUGUAUGAAAGCACUGUAAAACAUAAGAGAAAAACCAAUUAGUGUAUUGGCAAUCAUGCAGUUAACAUUUGAAAGUGCAGUGUAAAUUGUGAAGCAUUAUGUAAAUCAGGGGUCCACAGUUUUUCUGUAAGGGGUCAAAUCAUAAAUACUUUAGACUGUGGGCCAUAUGGUUUCUGUUACAUAUUUGUUUUUUAAACAACGUUUUUAUAAGGUCAAAAUCAUUCUUAGUUUUUGAGCCAAUUGGAUUUGGCCUGCUGUUCAUAGCUUACCACCCCCUGAUGUAUUAUUUGUUAUUCAGAGAAAAUUUCUGAAUACUACUAGUUUCCUUUUCUGUGCCUGUCCCUGUGCUAGGCACUAAAAAUGCAAUGAUUAUUGAUAUCUAGGUGACCUGAAAAAAAAUAGUGAAUGUGCUUUGUAAACUGUAAAGCACUUGUAUUCUACUGUGAUAAGCGUUGUGGAUACAAAGAAAGGAGCAAGCAUAAAAAAGUGCUCUUUCAAAAGGAUAUAGUACUAUGCAGACACAAGGAAUUGUUUGAUAAAUGAAUAAAUUAUAUGUAUAUUUGAGGCCAAUUUGUGUUUGCUGCUCUGGUAAUUUUGAGUAAAAAUGCAGUAUUCCAGGUAUCAGAAACGAAAACACAUGGAAACUGCUUUUAAACUUUAAAAUAUACUGAAAACAUAAGGGACUAAGCUUGUUGUGGUCACCUAUAAUGUGCCAGAUACCAUGCUGGGUGCUAGAGCUACCAAAGGGGGAAAAGUAUUCUCAUAGAACAAAAAAUUUCAGAAAGGUGCAUAUUAAAGUGCUUUGUAAACUAAAGCAUGAUACAAAUGUCAAUGGGCUACAUAUUUAUGAAUGAAUGAAUGGAUGAAUGAAUAUUAAGUGCCUCUUACAUACCAGCUAUUUUGGGUACUGUAAAAUACAAGAUUAAUUCUCCUAUGUAAUAAGAGGAAAGUUUAUCCUCUAUACUAUUCAGAUGUAAGGAAUGAUAUAUUGCUUAAUUUUAAACAAUCAAGACUUUACUGGUGAGGUUAAGUUAAAUUAUUACUGAUACAUUUUUCCAGGUAACCAGGAAAGAGCUAGUAUGAGGAAAUGAAGUAAUAGAUGUGAGAUCCAGACCGAAAGUCACUUAAUUCAGCUUGCGAAUGUGCUUUCUAAAUUAUAAAGCACUUGUAAAUGAAAAAUUUGAUGCUUUCUGUAUGAAUAAAACUUUCUGUAAGCUAGGUAUUGUCUCUACAAAAUUCUCAUUGUAUAGUUAAACCACAGUGAGAAGGGUUCUAUAAGUAGUUAUACAAACCAAGGGUUUAAAUACCUGUUAAAUAGAUCAAUUUUGAUUGCCUACUAUGUGAACUCACUGUUAAAGGCACUGAAAAUUUAUCAUAUUUCAUUUAGCCACAGCCAAAAAUAAGGCAAUACCUAUGUUAGCAUUUUGUGAACUCUAAGGCACCAUAUAAAUGUAACUGUUGAUUUUCUCACUUGGUGCUGGGUACUAGGUUUAUAAAAUUGUAUGAUAGUUAUUAUAUUGUGCAAAUAAAGUAGGAAAAUUUGAAUAACAAUGAUUAUCUUUUGAAUACGCAUACGCAAGGGAUUGGUUGUCUGAAGAAUGCCACUAUAGUAGUUAUCUAUUGUGUGCCAAUCUCAUUGCUAGGCAUUGGGGAUGCAAAGAUAAACCAUCUUUAUUGUGUCUUGGGUAGCAGAAGAAAAUAUGUGUAAAAUCAAUUUAUAAUUUGUAAACUGCCACCCAUAUAUAAGCUAUAUCUGCUGAAUGAUCAUUGAUUACUCUUAUCCUUAGAGAUAACAACUGGGGGCACAAACAUUUAUUAUCAUUAUUGAACCUACAACAGAGAUCUAUGUGUAGAUUUACAAAGCCUACAGUUCUAUACAGAUAGGAAUGAACUAUUGGCUUACUGAAUGGUGAUUACUUUCUGUGGGGCUCGGAACUACAUGCCCUAGGAUAUAAAAAUGAUGUUAUCAUUAUAGAGUGCUCACAGAAGGAAAUGAAGUAAUAUAGGUGUGAGAUCCAGACCAAAAGUCAUUUAACAAGUUUAUUCAGUGAUGAAAACAUGGGACAAAUGGACUAAUAUAAGGCAGUGUACUAAGCUGAGUAGAGAGAUAAAGUCCUGUCCAGAAGAUACAUGCUUCCUGGCCUGAUUGAGGAGAUGGAAAAUUUUUGCAAAAAACAAGGUGUUGUGGUCUUCCAUCCAGUUUCUUAAGUGCUGAUGAUAAAAGUGAAUUAGACCCACCUUGACCUGGCCUACAGAAGUAAAGGAGUAAAAAUAAAUGCCUCAGGCGUGCUUUUUGAUUCAUUUGAUAAACAAAGCAUCUUUUAUGUGGAAUAUACCAUUCUGGGUCCUGAGGAUAAGAGAGAUGAGGGCAUUAGAUCACUGACAGCUGAAGAUAGAAGAACAUCUUUGGUUUGAUUGUUUAAAUAAUAUUUCAAUGCCUAUUCUCUGCAAGGUACUAUGUUUCGUAAAUUAAAUAGGUCUGGCCCAGAAG
Molecule: long non-coding RNA, 7717 nt
Organism: Homo sapiens (human)
Lineage: Eukaryota; Metazoa; Chordata; Mammalia; Primates; Hominidae
Gene: XIST
Product: X inactive specific transcript
Source: Ensembl